RNAcentral lists this ribosomal RNA (363 nucleotides) under Philoceanus garrodiae. RNAcentral's name for it is "partial 12S ribosomal RNA". The record is from RNAcentral. Lineage: Eukaryota; Metazoa; Arthropoda; Insecta; Psocodea; Philopteridae.
AAAAGGAACACAUAUUCGUGUAGAGUAGAGCUUAUUAGUCUUGAAAAACAAAGUUACAUGGCGGCUAGGCAACUAAAUAGAGAAGCAUGUUUUUAAUCGAAGGUACACGAAGAUCCUUACCAGUUCUUGCCAAGUCAUUUUGCACACCGCCGUCGGAAGGUUAGAUUUAGAAAUUUAUUCUGUUUCCUUCAAUUAUAAAAGGAGUUAAGUCAGGUCAAGGCGUAGAUUAUGAAUUGGAAUUGAUGUGCUUCUAUAUUAUUAUUAUGUCUCAAGUUUUUAAUUUGAAAUAACUUUGGGUAAGUGAAUUUAUAAGUAAGUCCUAAUUAGCAUGUAGGUCUGAAUUGUGCGCAUGUCUCUAGUGUC